This 16-nucleotide microRNA is filed under the name Xenopus laevis (African clawed frog). RNAcentral's name for it is "xla-miR-5211". Lineage: Eukaryota; Metazoa; Chordata; Amphibia; Anura; Pipidae. The record is from RNAcentral.
GCGGCUAGACGAGGCG